This is a long non-coding RNA of Limulus polyphemus (Atlantic horseshoe crab), 973 nucleotides long. RefSeq lists it as uncharacterized. The record is from RefSeq and is a predicted model, not a curated record. The transcript has 2 exons. NCBI's taxonomy places the organism in Eukaryota, Metazoa, Arthropoda, Merostomata, Xiphosura, Limulidae.
GAUCAUGGCUACCGCUUUUCUAAACUGGAAUUUAGUAGGAAUUUAGGAAGUGUUUCGUGCUGAGGGGAAUGAAUCAAAUCUCUUGAGCAUCUUGAAGUGACUCUAAUUUUCGCUUUCAAUUUUUUUUGGGGGGAGAUUACUGAUUUUACCCUUGUAUGAACGUGCCUAAAACGUUUAAUACUUCUUUCAUGUUGUAGUAAUUCUACUACUUGGAGUCGGACUGUCAAUUUAUGCAACCUUGUUUGUUUGUUUUUUAAAUUAAAAAGAAGGGUUUCACGGAUCUAUACGUAGAGGAAUGAAUAUCUUCAUUCAGUGAUUCGAAAGUAUUCAUGAACUACCGAUAAUUUGGUAGCAGUUGUUUCAUGGCUGUUGUUAAAAUACAAAGAAAACUAGUUUCCAGUAAAGACAACAACUUUGUUGAACAAGUGUGAUCGUAAGGAGCUAACAGUAACAGACAAAUAGGUGUCUAAUUAUGCUUUCUUCGACUUCGGCGGCUACCCUAACACUGACGUCGGCCUCCAAGGUCGGUCUUCGGCCUCUGAGCAACCUAUUUCGCAAAGAGCUGCUUCAAAAUGACUACGUCACGUCGCCUCAAGUAGAAGGUGGUCCGUUCCCAUGGUGAAAUCGAUAAGGAUGAUUGUCUCGUACAGAACUGGCUUUGCGCCCGCUCGUUGUUUUAUAUGUACUGCUAACAUCGAGACCAAUCUUGUGGCAGGUAGAAAAGCACAUUUAAGUGUAUAGCGGCCAAAUAGAUUAAAACUUGUCCUAAUAAUAGGUGUUAAUAAAUUUAAACCCGUGAAGUUUACUCCACAGUUAAACCCUAUCCAGCUGUGAAACUUAGAAAAUGAAGUGCACGUUAUAAAACUGGCUUGCAAUAUCUCUCUCAGAAUAGCCGAGAUAUUAAUUUUGUAGCAUGUAAACUAGAGCAGAUUGAUUUGGUUAAAAUAGAUCUUACUUUUGGAGAGUAAUUUAG